Molecule: small RNA, 386 nt
Filed under: Histoplasma ohiense
Lineage: Eukaryota; Fungi; Ascomycota; Eurotiomycetes; Onygenales; Ajellomycetaceae
Description: hypothetical lncRNA
Source: RNAcentral
AAGAAUGGGAGUCCGAACUUAUGAGCGUCGAAAAGUUUGAGAUUGUUACCGAUCAUAAGAACUUAGAGUACUUCACGACCACUCGUAAGCUCACUGAAAGGCAUAUGCGUUGGUCAUUGUUCCUUAGCCGUUUUUCGUUCACAAUUCGUUAUCGACCUGGAGUAGAGAACACCCUUGCGGAUGCCCUGUCCCGCCGAGAACAAGAUAUGCCAUCUGAUGACUUGGACGACAGGUGGAAACACCGAGAGCAUCGAUUAAUCGACCCUGCAAUCAUAGAAAGUCCUACGCAACCAGACGAACCCCGCGUACAUGUCAACCAGUCCCGAGCUCAAGAACCCUCGCUCGAAGAACAAUGGAAGCUAGCGGCAGAAGCAGAUGAAUCCUGG